RNAcentral lists this long non-coding RNA (448 nucleotides) under Equus asinus (donkey). Its description in RNAcentral is "lncRNA (ENSEASG00005034743.1)". Lineage: Eukaryota; Metazoa; Chordata; Mammalia; Perissodactyla; Equidae. The record is from RNAcentral.
ACGAGGCACUAUGGACAUGUGUAUAAAUAAAGGACUUCAUAUAUAUAUAUGAUAUAUAUGAUAUACCAUAGUGGUAUUUUCACUUGGCUCAAAAUUUGUAUGUUUCGUUUAUCUGUAGACUAGCAAGACAAAUAAUUGCGUGGAUUAAAGAAGAUGAUAACAUCAAGGAUAUGUCUGAGGUUUCAAAUCUGGAUUGAAGGAGAGUGAAGAACGUGAAACAGUAGACACAGUUAAAUGAUUAUUCACUGAUAGCAGGAGAAUCAGGCAAAUCCCACCACCUGUUUAUGGCCUCCCAACACAGACUCACUGACCAGAGAAACCAUCAGUUGCUGCUACAACAUGGCUUGAUGAGUGGUGUCGGUCUGCACCUGAGAUCCAAACUUGAGAACCGGGCCGCUGAAGCGGAGCAUGCCAGACUUAACCACUACACCACGGGGCUGACACCACA